Molecule: ribosomal RNA, 265 nt
Filed under: uncultured bacterium
Lineage: Bacteria
Description: partial 16S ribosomal RNA
Rfam family: Bacterial small subunit ribosomal RNA
Source: RNAcentral
GUCCACGCCGUAAACGAUGGAUACUAGGUGCUGUGGGUAUUGACCCCUGCAGUGCCGACGCUAACGCAUUAAGUAUCCCGCCUGGGAAGUACGGCCGCAAGGCUAAAACUCAAAGGAAUUGACGGGGGCCCGCACAAGCGGUGGAGCAUGUGGUUUAAUUCGACGCAACGCGAAGAACCUUACCCAGGCUUGACAUUGAAGGAACCUGGUGGAAACACCGGGGUGCUCUUCGGAGCCCUGAAAACAGGUGCUGCAUGGCUGUCGU